This 184-nucleotide non-coding RNA is filed under the name Serratia fonticola. RNAcentral's name for it is "6S / SsrS RNA". It matches the Rfam family "6S / SsrS RNA". From Rfam's summary of the family: E. coli 6S RNA was the first non coding RNA to be sequenced, but its function was unknown until recently. It consists of 184 nucleotides that fold into an extended hairpin structure with a large single-stranded internal bulge. Lineage: Bacteria; Pseudomonadati; Pseudomonadota; Gammaproteobacteria; Enterobacterales; Yersiniaceae. The record is from RNAcentral.
AUUUCUCUGAGAUGUUUGCCAGCGGGCCAGUCCCCUGAGCCGAUAUUUAGUACCAACAGAAUGUGAUGAUCCAUGAUCGGUGUGCAUGCUCGGCCCGUCCGAGAAGCCUUAAGAUUGUGACAGCACGUUCACCUUGAACCAUGGGUUCAAGGGUUACAGCCUGCGACAGCAUCUCGGAGAUCCC